Molecule: transfer-messenger RNA, 371 nt
Filed under: Actinomycetota bacterium
Lineage: Bacteria; Bacillati; Actinomycetota
Rfam family: transfer-messenger RNA
About the family: Bacterial tmRNA, also known as 10Sa RNA or SsrA, is named for its dual tRNA and mRNA-like properties. Its role is to liberate the mRNA from a stalled ribosome.
Source: RNAcentral
GGGGGCGAACUAGCUUCGACGUGGAGCUGUCUGCCUCGAUGUGGCGAGCCGAGGACCCCGGUUGGCCUCGUAAAACUCUCCGGGAACCAAAUAAGUGCGGACUCUCACGAGUUCGCCCUCGCCGCCUAAGAACCGGUGAGGGAGUCGCCCCGGGCAGCCCGCGGUCCGGACCGGCGGCUUCAACCAGCGGGCUCACCGGCCGGGAGCGACCCUUCGCCCGGCCGGGACACCAACAGAAGGGUGUGGCUCCGGUGACGUGCCCCGCGGAUCGACCGAACCGGUAGCCGAGAUCGGACUCCGUCGGGAACGCUCGUAGCAAGCAUCGGGGUUGGGUUCCGCGGACGCCGGGGCAGAACCGGCCGCCUCCACUU